This 292-nucleotide ribosomal RNA is filed under the name uncultured bacterium. Its description in RNAcentral is "partial 16S ribosomal RNA". The record is from RNAcentral.
GGACUACCCGGGUAUCUAAUCCUGUUUGCUCCCCACGCUGUCGCGCAUCAGUGUCAGCAAUAGCCCAGCACGCCGCCUUCGCCACCGGUGUUCUUCCGGAUCUCUACGCAUUCCACCGCUACACCCGGAAUUCCACGUGCCUCUACUAUGCUCAAGCCAGGCAGUUCGCACGGCCGACCCGGGGUUGAGCCCCGGGCUUUCACCGCACGCUUACCUGGCCACCUACGCGCCCUUUACGCCCAGUGAUUCCGGACAACGCUUGCACCCUCUGUAUUACCGCGGCUGCUGGCAC